Molecule: long non-coding RNA, 883 nt
Organism: Pipistrellus kuhlii (Kuhl's pipistrelle)
Lineage: Eukaryota; Metazoa; Chordata; Mammalia; Chiroptera; Vespertilionidae
Exons: 2
Source: RefSeq, a predicted model, not a curated record
AUGCUUCUAUCUAUCCCUCUCCCUUCCUCUCUGAAAUCAAUAAAAAAAAAAUUUAAAAAGCAAAACAGAAAAGAUCUGAAAAUCCAUGAAUGAUGGGACGAAGAUGCUUAGAUGGGGUCUUGAGCAGAAGCAGAGACCUAGGCUCUAGGUUACCACCUCGUCUCCAGAAGAACAAAGACACGGGCAGGAGGGGAUCUGAGGAAGUCGCUAGGGCUGAGUGGAAAGGACACAAGAUUUGGGACAGUGAACCUUAGAAGUACUUUACACAGGCUGGUAACUUGGGGCAUGUUUGUGCUUCAGUCCCCUCAUCUUUAGAAUUGGUUACUAACACCGCUACCUUCCUUACAAGGUUGGGACAAUAUGUGUGAAAACACUAACUGAGCACUACAUGUUAGUGAAGGGUUUAGGAGGGCUCUUUCCAGAGUGGGUGGCCACAGAAUUGCAAGAGUUCACAGAUUGAAGCCUCCCACACUUUUGGUAGGAAAUAGUCAAGUGUCAUCUCCCACCACAACAUUGUCUUUCCACUCCACCAACAUUUGACUAGCAAGGGUUUGUUUUUUAAGAAGAAAAAGCAGUGUGGUCAGAGCAUAAGUUUUGGAAUUACAUGGCCUAGAUUUGAAUCUUGUGUUCAUUUUUCCAUAAUUGAGAUAGUCUGAUUACUUACCAUCUCUGAGCUUUGAUUUCUCAGCAGGUCUCAUGUGACUUGGGAAUGAAUGAUACACCUUAAGUGAAAUAACCCAGUCCCUAGAGCCGACCUAGGAAGUGUCCAGUAGAGUUAGCUCCAUUUCUUUUAUUUCUCCUUGGGAUGCAUCCAAUUGACCCAGCAUAAAAGGGGCUUCAUUGCCCAUGCUUUGGUGUAAACAAGUAAUAUCAAUUUUUUCUU